Rosa rugosa (rugosa rose) is the source of this 960-nucleotide long non-coding RNA. RefSeq lists it as uncharacterized. The record is from RefSeq and is a predicted model, not a curated record. The transcript is spliced from 8 exons. NCBI's taxonomy places the organism in Eukaryota, Viridiplantae, Streptophyta, Magnoliopsida, Rosales, Rosaceae.
UUUGUUUUUGUCUCAGCUCUGCGUUUUUGGGUGAGAUUUAGUAGAUAAUACAACAUGAUAUACGUUUGGCCUAGGUAUAAAAGGUCUUGGGGUGAUUGACGCGAGCAUUUCCCUCUCUGUUUCUCUCUUCGUUGUAAGCUGUCGUCUCCGUAUCUGGAGAUUCUUGGGUGUGUGGCUGAUUUGGGCGAAGAGAAGGAGGGUGAUUUUGGAGGAAACGGGAGAGGAGUUUCUACAUGACUGAAGGGAAUAAGGCUUGAAGCUUUACAAACAUUGCAGCUUGGGAGAAUAGGAGCUCUUGCUUGCUUGAAAGAAAAGAAGUGGAAGGAAUUGGAGACAUCUUUAGAUCAUCGCUGGAUAUAAUUGUUUGUAAUUAGAAAGGAAUCUGUGUGAAGAAUUGAUCAAUUGUGUUUGCUUGAUGUGUCUGCGGUUCAAUCAAUUGUGGUUGUGAUUCCUGCAGUUAGUGCUUCUAAGUAAACAUACUAUUUUAAUAGUGGAGUGUGUCUAGAUGCUACAACAAUAUGGGAAUGUCAUCCACUAGAAACUCAGUUUCUAGAUUGAGAAUAUUUUGCACCGGCCAAGGGAAGGCAGCAUUGAACCAGCAUUAUCAUCCAUGGAGACCUUCAGCAAAGAGAAAACAGACUAAAGUGUCAUGACAUUUUUUGUGUGCAGAGAACUGGAGGCAGCAACUUUUUGGACAAUCUCCAUAGCUGUUCAUUACCAGGCUAACAACCUUUAAGCAUACACAUGCUAACAGACAUCGUCAUCUGUUUUUGACAAGUACAUCAAGCAGUGAUUGUAAUUAAGUUAGCCUGCAACUGUACCUAUUUUUUGCAAGCUGUUCGAGCAGCAAAUGUAACUAUGUUAGCUUUAAACUAUGAAAGCCUAUUUUUUGAACAUUACCGCAACAUCUACAUUAGUGGAGUGUUACUAGAACAUGGUCUACAACUCUACAUCUUCUGU